This 344-nucleotide small RNA is filed under the name bovine gut metagenome. Its description in RNAcentral is "cspA thermoregulator". The record is from RNAcentral.
UCAAUUAAAGUCAUAAAUAAAAGAACCUCGCUUUAAAUUAUAGCAUUUGACAAGACCUCUUUUUUUGAUAUAAUUUAUUUAGGAACAAAAAGUUCCUAAAUGUCUUUUAAGUAAGACUUAAGUUAAUAAAAGGAAGUAGAAAUAAACAUGGCAAACGGAAAAGUGAAAUGGUUUAAUGAUCAAAAAGGAUUCGGUUUUAUUACACCUGAAGAUGGUGCAAAAGACCUUUUUGUUCACUAUCAAGACAUUCAAGGUGACGGCUUUAAAACCUUAGCAGAAGGUCAAGAAGUAAGUUACGAAGUUGUAGAAACCGAGAAAGGUCUUAAAGCAGUAAAGGUCACCAA